This 583-nucleotide unclassified non-coding RNA is filed under the name Memecylon torrei. Its description in RNAcentral is "partial external transcribed spacer". Lineage: Eukaryota; Viridiplantae; Streptophyta; Magnoliopsida; Myrtales; Melastomataceae. The record is from RNAcentral.
GUCUAGCAUGGCUUGCGUUGAUCACAUACUAACGUGUCCGAUGUUCAACGAGUGGGUUUCCCCUCAUGAGCUGAUGGCUAGUUGGUGGUGGUUGAUCUUCCAGUGGGACGACGCAUGAGUGGUGAUUAGGAUUGUGCUUUCAUGCAGGCUCUGCGUAUUGUACGUCGAUCUGUGUGGAGCCAAUCGUUUCAGUAAUCCGUUGCGCUUGUCAUUUUCUCGUUGCAAAAUGAUUGGGUGGUUUCUGUGUUGGCUACUGAUUUCGGUAUGCGGGAUUUGAUGGAAUCCAUUGUGAUUUGUUCCUCCGGCAUUGGCUUGUCCAGUGAAGGGGGACGUCGUAUCGGUCUCCCAUGUUUCACACAAGUUAUCCCCUUAUGGGUGUGGAUUUGUGAUGGCUCAUGGGGUGGCCGUUUAUGCUCUCGGGUAUCGUGAAAUAUUCGGUCGUUGUUCGGGUUUUUGACCCAUACGUAUCAUCAUCUCUUGAGCAUGUAGCUUUAUUUUGUAGGACCCUCGAGCUUGUUCCUGAGCUCACCGAGUCGUUGUGCUUGUUGCUCAUCAGGGAGAUGCCGAGGUCUAUGAGUAAUGC